This 238-nucleotide long non-coding RNA is filed under the name Lathyrus oleraceus (garden pea). RNAcentral describes it as "Pisum sativum (pea) long non-coding RNA (PSAT_LNC025073)". Lineage: Eukaryota; Viridiplantae; Streptophyta; Magnoliopsida; Fabales; Fabaceae. The record is from RNAcentral.
UAGAAGUCACAACUAUUUGAGGUCGGGAAAUAGAAUUUUGGUGUUAAUGCAUGUUAGAGACAUAGUAUAAUGGACUAUGCUCAUGAAACAUAUCACACACAAAAAGAAUAUGCAAAAUAGGUGACCUAAUCUCAUCCAUACUUACGUUGAUUUUCAAUCAACUAGCCUUAGAACAUUGAGAUAUCAUAGGACCAUGACAUGAAUGCAUAAAGAAGGGUAAGAGGGAGGGGAAAUGGAU